This 445-nucleotide ribosomal RNA is filed under the name uncultured bacterium. RNAcentral's name for it is "bacterial SSU rRNA". It matches the Rfam family "Bacterial small subunit ribosomal RNA", at positions 29 to 521 of the family's 1533-position model. The record is from RNAcentral.
AACGAACGCUGGCGGCAGGCUUAACACAUGCAAGUCGAGCGCCCCGCAAGGGGAGCGGCAGACGGGUGAGUAACGCGUGGGAAUCUACCCAUCUCUACGGAAUAACUCAGGGAAACUUGUGCUAAUACCGUAUACGCCCUUCGGGGGAAAGAUUUAUCGGAGAUGGAUGAGCCCGCGUUGGAUUAGCUAGUUGGUGGGGUAAAGGCCUACCAAGGCGACGAUCCAUAGCUGGUCUGAGAGGAUGAUCAGCCACACUGGGACUGAGACACGGCCCAGACUCCUACGGGAGGCAGCAGUGGGGAAUAUUGGACAAUGGGCGCAAGCCUGAUCCAGCCAUGCCGCGUGAGUGAUGAAGGCCCUAGGGUUGUAAAGCUCUUUCACCGGUGAAGAUAAUGACGGUAACCGGAGAAGAAGCCCCGGCUAACUUCGUGCCAGCAGCCGCGGU